AUACUUAGCUGGCAGGGGAGAUUCCAUGAUCAGGAAGGUGGUUUUCCCAGGGGUAGCUUAUCCAUUGCACUCUGACGUGCUCAUCCCUGUGAUUUCCCCACGUGUGGGAAACUCAACUGCAUAAUUGUGGUAGUGGGGACUGCAUUCGCGCUCUGCCCUG
Molecule: small nuclear RNA, 160 nt
Organism: Perognathus longimembris pacificus (Pacific pocket mouse)
Lineage: Eukaryota; Metazoa; Chordata; Mammalia; Rodentia; Heteromyidae
Product: U1 spliceosomal RNA
Exons: 1
Source: RefSeq, a predicted model, not a curated record